Molecule: ribosomal RNA, 368 nt
Filed under: uncultured organism
Description: bacterial SSU rRNA
Rfam family: Bacterial small subunit ribosomal RNA
Source: RNAcentral
CGAAGGUGGCAAGCGUUGUUCGGAUUUAUUGGGUUUAAAGGGUCCGUAGGCGGAUCCGUAAGUCAGUGGUGAAAUCUCACAGCUUAACUGUGAAACUGCCAUUGAUACUGCGGGUCUUGAGUAAGGUAGAAGUGGCUGGAAUAAGUAGUGUAGCGGUGAAAUGCAUAGAUAUUACUUAGAACACCAAUUGCGAAGGCAGGUCACUAUGUCUUAACUGACGCUGAUGGACGAAAGCGUGGGGAGCGAACAGGAUUAGAUACCCUGGUAGUCCACGCCGUAAACGAUGCUAACUCGUUUUUGGGCUUUCGGGUUCAGAGACUAAGCGAAAGUGAUAAGUUAGCCACCUGGGGAGUACGUUCGCAAGAAUG